AAGUACUCCCUCCGUCCUUAAAAAAUAAAAAAAGACAAACCCUAGAUUUUUGUGUCCAACAUUUGACUAUCCGUCUUAUAUAAAUUUUUUUAUAAUUAGUAUUUUCAUUGUUGUUAGAUGAUAAAACAUGAUUAAUAUUUUAUGCGUGACUUAUCUUUUUAAUUUUUUCAUAUUUUUUUUAAAUGAGACGGAUUGUCAAACAUUGGACACGGAAACAGAUGAUUUGUCUUUUUUUUUUAUGGAGGGAGUACUCCGUACUA
Molecule: unclassified non-coding RNA, 260 nt
Filed under: Oryza sativa (Asian cultivated rice)
Lineage: Eukaryota; Viridiplantae; Streptophyta; Magnoliopsida; Poales; Poaceae
Description: partial microRNA MIR438l-2 precursor
Rfam family: MIR812 microRNA precursor family (bases 29-233)
Source: RNAcentral